CUGUUUCCUCGCCAGGCCGUUUUGUAGGAUAAUCUGCCCCGGAACCACCUGCACAAAUUAUCAACCAAGUUAAUCCAUUUGAACAUACGAGAAGGCCAUCAGUCAUCAGUAAAAAGGGAGAAGAAGAUGGAUCUAAUACUGAAUAUAGAAUCAAUGGAUGGCCGUUUUGGUGACAUACUUCCUUUGAGAUCUGCAAACAUUAAAAUAGUUCAUAAAAUUUAAUUUCUUUGCAUUUAUAUUUUGGAGAAGCGUAAACAUCUGUAGAGGCAAUGAAUCCAAAAUUUACACUAGACCUCUUGGAAUACCCAGCCAAGGAUUGGUUCAACCUGGAACAGGUCAAAAACAAGUUGACCAAAACUGGCUUUUGAACUGGAACUGAUUGGUUUGGAUCUGUCCAGAUUUUUUCCUUCUUUUUUAAAAAACUAAAACCAUUGGCUUUGAUCAAAAUCAGAACUGAGCCAGAGGGACCUUGAGGUCCCAUUCCGGUCUACGCUUGGAUACUCUUUGAACAAGAAAUGAUACCUUAACAUUAAGAAAUUGACUUUCAUUUUACUUUGUGUAUCUGUUUAUUUAUUAUGACCAUUGAAACAACUGACAUUCUUUACUUAUUCUGUUCUCUGAUCACUUCAUGGACAUCAUUUUGUAAUUCCGAGUAUCUGCAGGGUCACCCAUUACCAUUAUAAUGAGCAUAUACUCCUCAAGACACUGAUUCAAAGUCAAGUAUCAAGGUUCAAAUUAUAUUUUCAUACCCUAUUUUCAAUCCUUGUAAACUGUUGUUUCUUAUGCUCUUGCAUGCUUAGAUAUGAAAUUUUCACUAGAAUUUAACCUAUAAAGCCAAGAAGAAGUUAUGUUUCCUAGAAUAUUUUACUUUAUGAUCAUUGCUGCAGUGGUUAUGCAUUAGAAUUCCAUAAUUAUAGAUUAUGUACCCUCAAAUAUCCAAAUGUGAGAGAUCAAUAUAAUUACAUGAAUUAAAGACAUCAGGUCUUCAAGUGCCUCAGACAAUAUGUAAUGUUUGGAUGGUCAAUUGGGGUUUUCUUUUAUUAAAGGCUGAGUAUCCAAAACUAAGCAUCAAAAGAUAAACCUAAAUGCUUAAACCUUGUAUGUUCUUAAACAAAAUGUUUUGAGUUCGUGUAUGUGGAUCUUGGAACUUUCCAGUCCAUUCUCAGCCAUAUCAGAAACCUUAAACAGCCAAACCUCAUUCUCGCAAUUAUAUCUCAAUCCAUUGCUUUUCCUAUUUUUAUAACACAAAUGAAGAAUAGAGAUUAGGAAUUGUUUCACCCAUCUGACUAACAAGUCUCCCAACCCAUUGUGCUCUCCUACUGGACUGGUCCAAAAUAUUUUCUUUUCAAAAGGAAUUUAGCUCAAAUCUCAUUACUAGUGCAGGCAUAUUAACAAAAAACUAGGCCUGAAAUGUACCCUACAAAAUAAAAUUUGAUAUAGACAUCAGAUAAGUAUAAAGCAUUUCACCAGUCCAGCCUAAAGGGUAUUUCAUCAUCCAUGUGUAGAUAUGCUAAUAAGAAAUUUUCUUCAUGGUUGAACACAGAGUGAAUAUGAGCAAAAAGAUAUUCCUAUCCUCAAUGAUUAAAAAAUUAGAAACAAAUUGCAUCUAAAGAAUGCAUAUAGGCCGUGAACUUAAAUAUAGCAAUUGUAGAGAAAGAAACUCAAUAACAUUGACUUUCAGAAUCAAAUUGCAUACCAAAAGCAUGUAGCCCUUUGAC
RNAcentral lists this unclassified non-coding RNA (1718 nucleotides) under Hevea brasiliensis (rubber tree). Lineage: Eukaryota; Viridiplantae; Streptophyta; Magnoliopsida; Malpighiales; Euphorbiaceae. The record is from RNAcentral.